GAUUUCUGGCUUGACGUGCCUGGCCCGCCUCGGUUACGAGUGUGAGUGCCGGUGCGCGUCUGCCAUCCUUCUAGAGAACGGCUUCACCCUUCACUGGGCUGGAGACGCGAUCUAGAUCUAUUACUUUGAAAAAAUUAGAGUGUUUAAAGCAGGCGUUUGCUCUGAAUACAUUAGCAUGGAAUAAUAAUUUAGGACUUUGGUUCUAUUUUGUUGGUUUCUAGGACUGAAGUAAUGAUUGAUAGGGAUAGUUGGGGGUGCUAGUAUUCAGUGGCCAGAGGUGAAAUUCUUGGAUUCACUGAAGACUAACUUAUGCGAAAGCAUU
This 322-nucleotide ribosomal RNA is filed under the name uncultured Allapsidae. Its description in RNAcentral is "bacterial SSU rRNA". The stretch from base 106 to 322 matches the Rfam family "Eukaryotic small subunit ribosomal RNA", at positions 737 to 955 of the family's 1831-position model. RNAcentral also lists the same sequence under 1 other name. Lineage: Eukaryota; Cercozoa; Glissomonadida; Viridiraptoridae. The record is from RNAcentral.